Long non-coding RNA from Hyaena hyaena (striped hyena), 324 nucleotides. RefSeq lists it as uncharacterized. The record is from RefSeq and is a predicted model, not a curated record. Lineage: Eukaryota; Metazoa; Chordata; Mammalia; Carnivora; Hyaenidae. The transcript has 2 exons.
UGUGAACUUCAAGGUAAGAGUCUUCUAGAAGAGAUCUUAUCCCAUGAAAAAGGAGGAGCGAGGACCAAUGAAUUCAACCCAAUAACAAAUGUUCAUCACCAGGAUAUAUGUCUUCAAACUGUGGCAUGUACUUUACAGUUACAGCACAUCUCAAUUCAAAUUAGUCACAUUUCCAGUGCUCGACAACCAUAUGGAGCUAGAAGCUACCAUACUGGACAACACAGCUGUAGAGGCCUAAACCAUCCAAAUAGUCCAUAUAUUUCUAAGAGUGGGGAUAGGGCAGAUCUGCUUUAUUUGCAGUUAAUAAUAAAAAACUUAAAAGCU